RNAcentral lists this transfer RNA (72 nucleotides) under Ictidomys tridecemlineatus (thirteen-lined ground squirrel). Its description in RNAcentral is "Spermophilus tridecemlineatus (thirteen-lined ground squirrel) tRNA". It matches the Rfam family "tRNA". From Rfam's summary of the family: Transfer RNA (tRNA) molecules are approximately 80 nucleotides in length. Their secondary structure includes four short double-helical elements and three loops (D, anti-codon, and T loops). Further hydrogen bonds mediate the characteristic L-shaped molecular structure. tRNAs have two regions of fundamental functional importance: the anti-codon, which is responsible for specific mRNA codon recognition, and the 3' end, to which the tRNAs corresponding amino acid is attached (by aminoacyl-tRNA synthetases). tRNAs cope with the degeneracy of the genetic code in two manners: having more than one tRNA (with a specific anti-codon) for a particular amino acid; and 'wobble' base-pairing, i.e. permitting non-standard base-pairing at the 3rd anti-codon position. Lineage: Eukaryota; Metazoa; Chordata; Mammalia; Rodentia; Sciuridae. The record is from Rfam by way of RNAcentral.
AGGAAUGUAGCUCAGUGGUAGAGUGCUUGCCUCGCAUGUGUGAGGUGCUGGGUUUGAUCCCCAGCACUGCAA